AGUGAACGCUGGCGGUAGGCCUAACACAUGCAAGUCGAACGGCAGCACAGUAAGAGCUUGCUCUUACGGGUGGCGAGUGGCGGACGGGUGAGGAAUACAUCGGAAUCUACUUUUUCGUGGGGGAUAACGUAGGGAAACUUACGCUAAUACCGCAUACGACCUACGGGUGAAAGCAGGGGAUCUUCGGACCUUGCGCGAUUGAAUGAGCCGAUGUCGGAUUAGCUAGUUGGCGGGGUAAAGGCCCACCAAGGCGACGAUCCGUAGCUGGUCUGAGAGGAUGAUCAGCCACACUGAAACUGAGUCCCGUCCCGGACCCCUACGGGAGGCAGAGGUGGGGAAUUUGGGACAAUGGGCGCAGGCCUGACCCAGCCAAACCGCGUGGGUGAAGAAGGCCUUCGGGUUGUAAGCCCUUUUGUUGGGAAAGAAAAGCAGCAGGUUAAUACCCCGCUGUUCUGACGGUACCCAAAGAAUAAGCACCGGCUAACUUCGUG
RNAcentral lists this ribosomal RNA (491 nucleotides) under uncultured bacterium. RNAcentral describes it as "partial 16S ribosomal RNA". It matches the Rfam family "Bacterial small subunit ribosomal RNA", at positions 29 to 507 of the family's 1533-position model. The record is from RNAcentral.